This 497-nucleotide ribosomal RNA is filed under the name uncultured bacterium. Its description in RNAcentral is "partial 16S ribosomal RNA". It matches the Rfam family "Bacterial small subunit ribosomal RNA", at positions 28 to 507 of the family's 1533-position model. The record is from RNAcentral.
GAUGAACGCUGGCGGCGUGCCUAAUACAUGCAAGUCGAGCGAACAGAUGAGGAGCUUGCUCCUCUGACGUUAGCGGCGGACGGGUGAGUAACACGUGGAUGACCUACCUAUAAGACUGGGAUAACUUCGGGAAACCGGAGCUAAUACCGGAUAAUAUAUUGAACCGCAUGGUUCAAUAGUGAAAGGCGGUUUUGCUGUCACUUAUAGAUGGAUCCGCGCCGCAUUAGCUAGUUGGUAAGGUAACGGCUUACCAAGGCAACGAUGCGUAGCCGACCUGAGAGGGUGAUCGGCCACACUGGAACUGAGACACGGUCCAGACUCCUACGGGAGGCAGCAGUAGGGAAUCUUCCGCAAUGGGCGAAAGCCUGACGGAGCAACGCCGCGUGAGUGAUGAAGGUCUUCGGAUCGUAAAACUCUGUUAUUAGGGAAGAACAAAUGUGUAAGUAACUAUGCACGUCUUGACGGUACCUAAUCAGAAAGCCACGGCUAACUACGUG